CCUACGGGCGGCAGCAGUGAGGAAUAUUGGUCAAUGGGCGAGAGCCUGAACCAGCCAAGUCGCGUGAGGGAGUACUGCCCUAUGGGUUGUAAACCUCUUUUGUCGGGGAGCAAAAGCCGGACGUGUCCGGCUGUGAGAGUACCCGAAGAAAAAGCAUCGGCUAACUCCGUGCCAGCAGCCGCGGUAAUACGGAGGAUGCGAGCGUUAUCCGGAUUUAUUGGGGUUAAAGGGUGCGCAGGCGGAUUUUUAAGUCAGCGGUCAAAUCGUGGGGCUCAACCCCAUCCAGCCGUUGAAACUGGGGAUCUAGAGUGUGCGAGAGGUAUGCGGAAUGCGUGGUGUAGCGGUGAAAUGCAUAGAUAUCACGCAGAACCCCGAUUGCGAAGGCAGCAUACCGGUGCACAACUGACGCUCAGGCACGAAAGUGUGGGUAUCGAACAGGAUUAGAUACCCUAGUAGUC
Molecule: ribosomal RNA, 458 nt
Filed under: uncultured bacterium
Lineage: Bacteria
Description: partial 16S ribosomal RNA
Rfam family: Bacterial small subunit ribosomal RNA
Source: RNAcentral